This 451-nucleotide long non-coding RNA is filed under the name Salmo salar (Atlantic salmon). RNAcentral describes it as "lncRNA (ENSSSAG00000118651.1)". The record is from RNAcentral. Lineage: Eukaryota; Metazoa; Chordata; Actinopteri; Salmoniformes; Salmonidae.
GUAUCUGUAGGUUAGUGUGUAGGUUAGUGUGUAUCUGUAGGUUAGUGUGUAUCUGUAGGUUAGUGUGUAGGUUAGUGUGUAUCUGUAGGUUAGUGUGUAGGUUAGUGUGUAUCUGUAGGUUAGUGUGUAGGUUAGUGUGUAUCUGUAGGUUAGUGUGUAUCUGUAGGUUAGUGUGUAGGUUAGUGUGUAUCUGUAGGUUAGUGUGUAGGUUAGUGUGUAUCUGUAGGUUAGUGUGUAUCUGUAGGUUAGUGUGUAUCUGUAGGUUAGUGUGUAGGUUAGUGUGUAUCUGUAGGUUAGUGUGUAGGUUAGUGUGUAUCUGUAGGUUAGUGUGUAUCUGUAGGUUAGUCUGUAGGUUAGUGUGUAUCUGUAGGUUAGUGUGUAUCUGUAGGUUAGUGUGUAUCUGUAGGUUAGUGUGUAUCUGUAGGUUAGUGUGUAGGUUAGUGUGUAUCUG